This 325-nucleotide unclassified non-coding RNA is filed under the name Hevea brasiliensis (rubber tree). The record is from RNAcentral. Lineage: Eukaryota; Viridiplantae; Streptophyta; Magnoliopsida; Malpighiales; Euphorbiaceae.
CAAAACUUAAAUAUUAAUUCAAGUAUGACUUUUUAUGAGAACAAUUAUAUAAAAUUGUUUCAGAAACCGAAACCGUACCAAACUAGAAUCAAAACAAUAAAGAAUCGAACUGGAACUGUACCAAAAUUUCGGUUAGUUCUAGUUCCUAGGCAAACCCUAACCGAAACCAAAACCACACACCUUAAUAGAGUUUUUUGCUCAAAUUUUCAUAUUAAGCUAGAUAUAACAAUUUAUUGGAUACGAGUAAUUAGCAUAAAUAAAAAUUAACCUAAUAUGACUGCAAAAACCAGAAAUGCAAAAUAAAUCUUUAUACAACUUAGUGAAG